RNAcentral lists this ribosomal RNA (1813 nucleotides) under Shigella sonnei. RNAcentral describes it as "partial 23S ribosomal RNA". It matches the Rfam family "Bacterial large subunit ribosomal RNA", at positions 962 to 2759 of the family's 2925-position model. Lineage: Bacteria; Pseudomonadati; Pseudomonadota; Gammaproteobacteria; Enterobacterales; Enterobacteriaceae. The record is from RNAcentral.
CCGGAGAAUGUUAUCACGGGAGACACACGGCGGGUGCUAACGUCCGUCGUGAAGAGGGAAACAACCCAGACCGCCAGCUAAGGUCCCAAAGUCAUGGUUAAGUGGGAAACGAUGUGGGAAGGCCCAGACAGCCAGGAUGUUGGCUUAGAAGCAGCCAUCAUUUAAAGAAAGCGUAAUAGCUCACUGGUCGAGUCGGCCUGCGCGGAAGAUGUAACGGGGCUAAACCAUGCACCGAAGCUGCGGCAGCGACGCUUAUGCGUUGUUGGGUAGGGGAGCGUUCUGUAAGCCUGCGAAGGUGUGCUGUGAGGCAUGCUGGAGGUAUCAGAAGUGCGAAUGCUGACAUAAGUAACGAUAAAGCGGGUGAAAAGCCCGCUCGCCGGAAGACCAAGGGUUCCUGUCCAACGUUAAUCGGGGCAGGGUGAGUCGACCCCUAAGGCGAGGCCGAAAGGCGUAGUCGAUGGGAAACAGGUUAAUAUUCCUGUACUUGGUGUUACUGCGAAGGGGGGACGGAGAAGGCUAUGUUGGCCGGGCGACGGUUGUCCCGGUUUAAGCGUGUAGGCUGGUUUUCCAGGCAAAUCCGGAAAAUCAAGGCUGAGGCGUGAUGACGAGGCACUACGGUGCUGAAGCAACAAAUGCCCUGCUUCCAGGAAAAGCCUCUAAGCAUCAGGUAACAUCAAAUCGUACCCCAAACCGACACAGGUGGUCAGGUAGAGAAUACCAAGGCGCUUGAGAGAACUCGGGUGAAGGAACUAGGCAAAAUGGUGCCGUAACUUCGGGAGAAGGCACGCUGAUAUGUAGGUGAAGUCCCUUGCGGAUGGAGCUGAAAUCAGUCGAAGAUACCAGCUGGCUGCAACUGUUUAUUAAAAACACAGCACUGUGCAAACACGAAAGUGGACGUAUACGGUGUGACGCCUGCCCGGUGCCGGAAGGUUAAUUGAUGGGGUCAGCGCAAGCGAAGCUCUUGAUCGAAGCCCCGGUAAACGGCGGCCGUAACUAUAACGGUCCUAAGGUAGCGAAAUUCCUUGUCGGGUAAGUUCCGACCUGCACGAAUGGCGUAAUGAUGGCCAGGCUGUCUCCACCCGAGACUCAGUGAAAUUGAACUCGCUGUGAAGAUGCAGUGUACCCGCGGCAAGACGGAAAGACCCCGUGAACCUUUACUAUAGCUUGACACUGAACAUUGAGCCUUGAUGUGUAGGAUAGGUGGGAGGCUUUGAAGUGUGGACGCCAGUCUGCAUGGAGCCGGCCUUGAAAUACCACCCUUUAAUGUUUGAUGUUCUAACGUGGACCCGUGAUCCGGGUUGCGGACAGUGUCUGGUGGGUAGUUUGACUGGGGCGGUCUCCUCCUAAAGAGUAACGGAGGAGCACGAAGGUUGGCUAAUCCUGGUCGGACAUCAGGAGGUUAGUGCAAUGGCAUAAGCCAGCUUGACUGCGAGCGUGACGGCGCGAGCAGGUGCGAAAGCAGGUCAUAGUGAUCCGGUGGUUCUGAAUGGAAGGGCCAUCGCUCAACGGAUAAAAGGUACUCCGGGGAUAACAGGCUGAUACCGCCCAAGAGUUCAUAUCGACGGCGGUGUUUGGCACCUCGAUGUCGGCUCAUCACAUCCUGGGGCUGAAGUAGGUCCCAAGGGUAUGGCUGUUCGCCAUUUAAAGUGGUACGCGAGCUGGGUUUAGAACGUCGUGAGACAGUUCGGUCCCUAUCUGCCGUGGGCGCUGGAGAACUGAGGGGGGCUGCUCCUAGUACGAGAGGACCGGAGUGGACGCAUCACUGGUGUUCGGGUUGUCAUGCCAAUGGCACUGCCCGGUAGCUAAAUGCGGA